This is a long non-coding RNA of Callithrix jacchus (white-tufted-ear marmoset), 2422 nucleotides long. The record is from Ensembl. NCBI's taxonomy places the organism in Eukaryota, Metazoa, Chordata, Mammalia, Primates, Cebidae.
CUCUGGUCCUUUUGCUGCUUAGGCAUAGAAAGUUAGGGUUUUUCUUUCAGUUAGUUCUAGGAAGUUGGCCUGAAACUACCUUGGGUUUCCUGCCUCCAGACACCAUUCUCCUGUCUCAGAAGCAUCACCCCAGGAGAUCAAAGGCAGCUCAGACUCAGUCAGGAAGGCAGCUAAGGAAGCAAGAUGAAUGGUGGGGCACGAGGAAUGAACAGAAGCAGUCGAAAUCAGGGUCAGGUUGGGCCAAGAAAUUGUGGACAACUCAGGCAAGCUGUUCAGGAAUAAGAUUCAGCCAAAAGGAUCACAUUCAACCGGGAAGAAACAAGACCCAGUAUCACAGUGACCUAAACACAAUACAAGCUCAUUCACUCUUGCAUAGAAGAGGACCAGAAACAGAUGAUCCAGGGGCAGCUAUGGUAGCUCUUCAUCAUCAGGAACCCAGUUGUUUUCUGGCUUUCCUCUCUGCCAUUACUGGGGUGCACCUUCAUCCUCGUGGUCUGAUAUGGUCUCUAGAGGUUUCUAGAGCUCCAAACAUCACAUCCACAUUGCUGCUAGAAGGUUUUUGGGGAAAAUGGAAGAAGAGUAUAUUUGCUGUCUUUCCAAAGGCUUCCCAGAAGUACUAUACAAGACUUCUAUGUACAUCUCAUUAGCCAGAAAGUGUUCACUUGGUCACCUUGCUGCAAAAGAGGCUGGGGAACAUAGUAACAUGCCCAUUACUAAGAAAGAAGGGAGCGUGGACACGUGAGACAUCCCAACCCUUCACAAUGAGGUAUAAAAGCUCCUUUUUCCAAGCAUAAUGUCGAGCUCUUACCCCAGGAGGCUCCACGUGUGAUGGAAGGCACAGACUUUGGAAUCAGACAGACCUGGGACAGAUCCUGGAAGGUCUUUUAGGCUAACUGAUGGCGCCAUGGACGCCAUGGUAACCUCUGUGCCCUGCACAGACACUCCAGAUGAGUUCCUGGAAAAUCUGAAGUAGCUGGAAGACCAUGAAAAGAGGAAGACCCUUCAGUACCUACUUAAAUUUGAGACACUCUCUAUUCCUUAUUCCUGCCCCAAUUGAUAAGGCUAUUGGACUUUGUAACCAACCUUGGUCAACCUCAUGACUCCACACCCUACGACCCCCUCCCAGCUUGCCAAAAAACGCCCCAAACUGUGACUUCCGUAACUUUCCACUGUUUACCCCACACCUAUAAAACCAACUCUGCCUUUCGCUGACUCUCUUUUGGGACCCAGCUGGCCCACAGCCGGGUGAAUAAACAGCCAGGUUGCUCACACAAAACCUGUUUGGGGGGGUCUCUUCAUUCAGAGCACGCAUUUUUUUUUUUUUUUUGAGACGGAGUUCACUCUUGUUACCCAGGCUGGAGUGCAAUGGCGCGAUCUCGGCUCACUGCAACCUCCGCCUCCUGGGUUCAGGCAAUUCUCCUGCCUCAGUCUCCUGAGUAGCUGGGAUUACAGGCACGUGCCACCAUGUCCAGCUAAUUUUUUGUAUUUUCAGUAGAGACGGGGUUUCACCAUGUUGACCAGGAUGGUCUCGAUCUCUUGACCUUGUGAUCCACCCGCCUCGGCCUCCCAAAGUGCUGGGAUUACAGGCUUCAGAGUACGCAUUUUAACAGACCCUGGCUCACUUACCUCCCAGCUAGAUGAUUUAGGAAAGUUGCUCAGACUCUCUGAAUCUCUGCAUCUAACAAAUAGAAAGCGCAGGGUUGCAGUUGUGAGAAAGUAAUCGACGAGAAUCUGUGUAUAGAGAACCCGGGAGAGUGCCCAGAACAAGCCUGAUGGCCAGGAGUUGUCAUCCCAUCUGCAUUAUGUCAUCUGUAUCCAUGUAUUCUAUCUUCUACAACGCCGUGUGUUAUUUAAACUCUUUUAUUAUAAUGAUUGUUUUAUUUUAUUUUUCAUUUUUUUAAAGACAGGAUCUUGCUCUGUCACCCAGGCUUAACUGCAGUGGUGCGAUCGUGGUUCAGUGCAGCCUCAAAUUCCUGGGCUCAAGUGAUCCUCCUGCCUCAGCCUCCUGAGUAGCUGAACUUACUGUGAGUGUUCUGAAGUCCAGGCACCUGGCACGUAGGCAGGGCUGUCAGUAACAUUUGCUGCAUUAAUGGAAUUUCAGUGGCCUGACCUUUCUCCUGGGCUUGGUCUGGCCCUGCCUUCACCAUUGGGCUGCUAUGCAUGAUGCCAUCUCAGCGGGUUUGGGAUGGGGCCUGGAAACCUACAUUUUUCAUCUCUCCAGUAUUGGGAAUCUCUCUUUCAGAAGGCUUCCCAGAAGUACUACACAAGACUUCUGUGUAGGCCGGGCACGGUGGGCUGUAAUCUCAGCAUUUUGGAAGGCCAAGGUGGAUGGAUCACUUGAGAUCAGGAGUUUGAGACUAGCCUGGCUAACAUGGUGAAAACCCAUCUCCACUAAAAAUAUGAAAUUAGCUGGGCAUGGUGG